UCACAGCCAUAUUACCCCACAGCCCAAGACUGUUUACUCACUGAAGCUUAGCAGGGCUGAACCUGGCCAGUACCUAGAUGGGGGACCACAUGGGAAAACUAGGUUUGCAGUUGGAA
Molecule: ribosomal RNA, 116 nt
Filed under: Danio rerio (zebrafish)
Lineage: Eukaryota; Metazoa; Chordata; Actinopteri; Cypriniformes; Danionidae
Source: RNAcentral